This is a non-coding RNA of Arvicola amphibius (Eurasian water vole), 414 nucleotides long. Lineage: Eukaryota; Metazoa; Chordata; Mammalia; Rodentia; Cricetidae. The record is from the annotation of a RefSeq genome assembly.
AUGGCAACUCCAACAUCAGCAUGGUCCCUCUCAUAUCAGUCAUUAAUCAAGAAAAUGGCUCCCAGAGUCUUGCCUGCAUACCAAUAUGAUGGAGGUGUCCAGUGUGAGGUGCAUUUGCUGGAGUCUGGGGGAUGCUUAGUGCAGCCUGGAAAGUCCCUGAAACUCUCCUGUGCAGCCUCGGGAUUCCCAGUCAGUAACUACUGGAUGAAUUGGGUCCGCCAGGCUCCAGGGAAGGGGCUGGAAUGGGUCGCAAAAAUUAAUCAAGGUGGUGGUACCACCAGGUAUACCAAUGCUGUGAAGGGCCGGUUCACAAUCUCCAGGAACAAUGCCAAGAACACUUUGUACCUGGAAAUGAACAAUCUGAGGUCAGAGGACACAGCCAUGUAUUACUGUGCCAACAGACACAGUGAGUGA